CCUACGGGUGGCUGCAGUAGGGAAUAUUGCACAAUGGGGGGAACCCUGAUGCAGCAACGCCGCGUGGGUGAAGAAGUACUCCGGUAUGUAAAGCCCUGUCAUCAGGGAAGAUAAUGACGGUAUCUGACCAAGAAGCCCCGGCUAACUACGUGCCAGCAGCCGCGGUAAUACGUAGGGGGCAAGCGUUAUCCGGAUUUACUGGGUGUAAAGGGAGCGUAGACGGGAAGGCAAGUCUGAAGUGAAAUCCCAUGGCCCAACCACAGAACUGCCUUUGAAACUGUGAUGCUAGAGUGAAGGAGUGGUAGGCGGAAUUCUUGGUGUAGCGGUAAAAUGCGUAGAGAUCAAGAGGAACA
RNAcentral lists this ribosomal RNA (353 nucleotides) under uncultured bacterium. RNAcentral describes it as "partial 16S ribosomal RNA". It matches the Rfam family "Bacterial small subunit ribosomal RNA", at positions 338 to 708 of the family's 1533-position model. The record is from RNAcentral.